This is a long non-coding RNA of Schistocerca cancellata (South American locust), 1098 nucleotides long. RefSeq lists it as uncharacterized. NCBI's taxonomy places the organism in Eukaryota, Metazoa, Arthropoda, Insecta, Orthoptera, Acrididae. The record is from RefSeq and is a predicted model, not a curated record. The transcript has 3 exons.
GGAAUCUGCAGGCCAUCACUGUGUUCUGCCCGUAGUGGGAACUAAUCUCGGUAGCAACUUGUCUGAACGCUCGCAUUCAUAGAACUCCGUAACUCUUCACCAGAUACUCUGUUGAUGGAAGGAACUGAAACUCUAUAAAAUGGCAACUCCUCAAGAGAAAGCACAAUGUGUGUCCUGGUUUAUUGAGACAAAAUCGGAUGUUCAGACUCAAUGAAACUUCAGAACGAAGUAUGGAAGAGAUCCAUCAUCGCACCCUUCAGUCCGUGCAUGGCACAAAAAAUUUAUGGAGACCGGGACAGUGUUGGAUAAAGGCAGGAACGGGCGAACAAGAACAUCCGAGGAAAACAUCCAUCGCGUUUUAAACGUCUUCACUAGUUCACCUACGAAGUCCAUCCGCAGUGCUGCCAGACAGUUGCAACUACCACCUUCAACUGUGCGUAAGGUCCUCCACAAGAACUUACGGUUGUACGCUUACAAAGUGCAAUUGUUACAGACACUUGAGCCAAAUGACAAGCCAACACGGACAGAGUUUGCACUCAACAUGCUGGAACGCCUUUCGGAGGAUGAAGCAUUCCUCAAGCGAGUUUGUUUCAGUGACGAGGCAACUUUUCAUGUUUAUGGGACAUUAAACAGACACAGUGUGAGAACCUGGGGGUCUAAACACGCCCAUGUGACUAGGGAGCUUCACCGGUAUAGUACAAAAGUGAAUGUGUGGUGUGGAACCACGCGCAACCGAAUAAUUGGUCCAUUUUUCUUCAACGAAUCAACAAUUACUGCAGAUGUUUACCUCGAUUUUCUGACCGAAUAUGUAGCACCACAAGUGAUUGACUUACAACCAACUAUCGUUCUUCAGCAAGAUGGUGCACCAACACAUUGGGGACUGAAUGUUCGUCGGUUUCUCAAUGAAACAUUUCCAGGCAGAUGGAUUGGGAGGGAUGGGCCAGUUCCUUGGCCACCGCGUUCGUCAGAUAUCACUCCCUUGGACUUUUUUUAAGGGGGUACGUAAAAGAUAUCAUGUAACAAACUGACUCGAAGCAAAGGACUCGUAAUACCAUUACCACCAUUGAUGACGCUAUGCUACAGCGAACACGGCAAGAA